UACGAAAGGUGCGAGCGUUAAUCGGAAUUACUGGGCGUAAAGCGCGCGUAGGCGGUUAGUUAAGUCGGAUGUGAAAUCCCCGGGCUCAACCUGGGAACUGCAUCCGAUACUGGCUAACUAGAAUGCAGUAGAGGGAAGUGGAAUUUCAGGUGUAGCGGUGAAAUGCGUAGAGAUCUGAAGGAACACCAGUGGCGAAGGCGGCUUCCUGGACUGACAUUGACGCUGAGGUGCGAAAGCGUGGGGAUCAAACAGG
This 253-nucleotide ribosomal RNA is filed under the name uncultured bacterium. Its description in RNAcentral is "partial 16S ribosomal RNA". It matches the Rfam family "Bacterial small subunit ribosomal RNA", at positions 524 to 776 of the family's 1533-position model. The record is from RNAcentral.